CGCUGCCGGCCGGGCUCUUGGUGCUGCCGUUGGCCGUACGGUUCUUCCCCAGGAACUCAGGCCCUUUCUCCAUCAUGCCGGGCAUGGUAGAAAGGGGGAGGGGGGAGGAGUGACAGCGAAAGGGGAAGAUAAAAUUUGGACAGGGUCCCAGUCCUGUUGGCUCAGAGUCAGUCCUUUACAGACAAGACAGUGAGAGGAGCCAGAGUGUAUCCCCUGAUCCAGAAGUGAAGAAAAGAGCAGUGUUCAGGAGGUGUUUUCCAGUCCUGAAGUCAAUCUUCGAGGUGUCCACCGAAAUCCAAGGAAGAAGUUAGGCCAGGCAAAAGAAACAUCUUGGGACAAUGCCUGUCUGUGCUAUUGUAUAUAUGAAGAUCACUGCCCCUCCCCUCUUCCUUGACUUGUGUAGAUUAGAGUUUGAUCUUCAAGUUCUGCCAAGCAAGAACCUUGAUGUUGAGUUUUAAUAAGACCCUGGGAAAUUGACCCAGAGUGAUAAAGGAAGUUUGAAAUUUUUGACCUAGAUAGAAUUUCCUAUCAAGGUGAUUUUAUAGUUAUUUUGAAUUCUAAUGGGAAAUAACCCUUUUUGAAAGGGAACCCUAAAUUAACAUAAGAUGCUUCCUGUAUUAAGCACCUAGGAAAUGUGGUUUGUGGACGAUACAAAGAUUCAAUCUAGUGGGGAUGUUGUAAACCAUUUCCCAGACACUUUGGGAUUGAAGAUACAAAGACCAAAAUGAAAACAGUUCCUACACACUCAUGGAGUAACAUGUUAUUGGAGAUAAAGACAUCACCUCUAAUCUCAUAAUACUUAGGAAGCUAAAACACUAAAAUACAAUGCUGUGUAAUAAAUGUUGAAUAUUAUAAACCUAAAA
Monodelphis domestica (gray short-tailed opossum) is the source of this 863-nucleotide non-coding RNA. The record is from RefSeq and is a predicted model, not a curated record. Lineage: Eukaryota; Metazoa; Chordata; Mammalia; Didelphimorphia; Didelphidae.